UCCGUAGGUGAACCUGCGGAAGGAUCAUUAAUUGUAUAACGGGGGCCGGCGAGGGAUUGCGCACUUCGGUGCGCCUUUCUUCCCCGCCCUGUCUGAUACUACCCAUGUCUUUUGCGUACCAAUUGUUUCCUCGGUGGGCUUGCCCGCCGGUUGGACACUAUAAAACCUUUUGUAAUUGCAGUCAGCGUCAGAAAAACAUAAUAAUUACAACUUUCAACAACGGAUCUCUUGGUUCUGGCAUCGAUGAAGAACGCAGCGAAAUGCGAUAAGUAGUGUGAAUUGCAGAAUUCAGUGAAUCAUCGAAUCUUUGAACGCACAUUGCGCCCCUUGGUAUUCCAUGGGGCAUGCCUGUUCGAGCGUCAUUUGUACCCUCAAGCUCUGCUUGGUGUUGGGUGUUUGUCCCGCUUUGCGCGUGGACUCGCCUUAAAGCAAUUGGCAGCCGGCAAUCUGGUUAUAGAGCGCAGCACAUUUUGCGCUUCUUGCCAUGGAUGUCGGCAUCCAUCAAGUACAUUUUUUUUGCUCUUGACCUCGGAUCAGGUAGGGAUACCCGCUGAACUUAAGCAUAUCAAUAAGCGGAGGA
RNAcentral lists this ribosomal RNA (580 nucleotides) under uncultured Pyrenochaeta. RNAcentral describes it as "eukaryotic LSU rRNA". The stretch from base 209 to 362 matches the Rfam family "5.8S ribosomal RNA". Lineage: Eukaryota; Fungi; Ascomycota; Dothideomycetes; Pleosporales; Pleosporaceae. The record is from RNAcentral.